RNAcentral lists this long non-coding RNA (1589 nucleotides) under Homo sapiens (human). Its description in RNAcentral is "HSALNT0295326". Lineage: Eukaryota; Metazoa; Chordata; Mammalia; Primates; Hominidae. The record is from RNAcentral.
ACUCCUCCUUUCUCCCAUUGUUCCUAUGAGUUUGUGAAUGCUCUCUGGAACCCCAGAAGAUAAAAGAAUAAGUAACUAUGACAGUCAUUUGUAACAAUCGUCUCUUUCCCAAUACACUACCAGCAAGCCGACCCACACCGCCUCCAGUCUUAGUGCCUUCCCGGUCACGCCCUCCCUUCUCCUGAAGGGGGCGGAAUCUCUAAUCCACCCAAGACCCGGUUCCUCGAUUCCCAUCCUUACGACCGAGGAAAAAAGAGUAAAUUUUCCUAUUAUAGCCUUCUCUCGCACCUUCCCCGCUUCCCACCAGCCGUCUCCACUGUCCUCACCGUCCCCAUCCUCAUCCAUGGCGAAAUCUUCGCCCCCAGCCUCGUGAAGAUCUAGCACGUCCGCCAUCUCGCCUUCGAUCGAGAUCUCGUCUGUGCCGCUCAGACACUAGAUGCUGUUGACUGGGGCAAAGAAUAAUGGGAGAAAAACAGCUGGGUCCUAAAUAACAGAGGGAAACCAACUUUCAAUAAAGUAUUCAACAACUAAUCCACAAAGCAGAUAACUGAAGUAAUUUAGUAUAUGUAAUUACAUCUUUUUUUUUUUUUUUUUUGAGGCGGAUUCUUGCUCUGUUACCCAGGCUGGAGUACAAUGGCACAAUCUCAGCUCAUUGCAACCUCUGCCUCCCAGGUUCAAGCAAUUCUCCUGCCUCGGCCUCCCGAGUAGCUGGGAUUACAGGCGCCCACCACUGCGCCCAGCUAACUUUUGUAUUUUUAGUAGAGAUGGGGUUUUGCCAUGUUAGCCAGGCUGGUUUCAAACUCCUGGCCUCAGAUGAUCCGCCUGCCUCAGCCUCCCAAAGUGCUGGGAUUACAGGCAUGAGCCACUGCACCUGGCCUGUAAUUACAUCUUAAUUAAAUGCAAAUAGAACAGAUACUUGGUCUGACUAUUAAUGAAUUUGUGGAGAGGAAGGAAGAUGGCGGUGUUAAUUUCUAAGAUGUAAUUAAAUUAAGUCAACUUGGGUUCUAAUCUUGGCGUGACCAAUUACUAGCUAUAUCAUGUUAAGCAACAUUCCACUUCUGUGUUUUUAGUCUCCUCAUCUGUAAAAUAGGGGUAAUAAUAGUACUUACACCUCAUAAGAUUGUUGUGAUGAUCAAAUGAGGUAAAAUGCAUAUAAAUCCCCUAGAACAGUCCCUGCCACAAGGUAAAUACUCAAUUAGGAUUAAUUAUGGUUAUUCUUCUUUUUUGAGAUGGAGUCUCACUCUGUCGCCCAGGCUGGAGUACAGUGGCGCAAUCUCGGCUCACUACAAACUCCGUCUCCCGGGUUCAAGCCAUUCUCCUGCCUCAGCCUCCCAAGCAGCUGGGACUACAGACGCCCCCCACCAUGCCCGGCUAUUUUUUUUUUAUUUUUUGUAGAGACGGGGUUUCACCGUGUUAGCCAGGAUGGUCUCGAUCUCCUAACCUCGUGAUCUGCCCGCCUCGGCCUCCCAAAGUGCUGGGAUUACAGGCGUGAGACACCGCGUCUGGCUAAUUAUGGUUAUUCUUAUCAUCAUCAUUUGAAAGAACAGUUGUAAAUAAAGAGAGUAAAUAAAUUAUCCUCCUUGUUCCUA